CAACCUGCCAUCACUUGGGGAUAACCUUGCGAAAGUAAGACUAAUACCCAAUGACGUCUCUAGAAGACAUCUGAAGGAGAUUAAAGAUUUAUCGAUGAUGGAUGGGGAUGCGUCUGAUUAGCUUGUUGGCGGGGUAACGGCCCACCAAGGCAACGAUCAGUAGGGGUUCUGAGAGGAAGGUCCCCCACAUUGGAACUGAGACACGGUCCAGACUCCUACGGGAGGCAGCAGUGAGGAAUAUUGGUCAAUGGGCGAGAGCCUGAACCAGCCAAGUAGCGUGCAGGAAGACGGCCCUAUGGGUUGUAAACUGCUUUUAUAAGGGAAUAAAGUGAGUCUCGUGAGACUUUUUGUAUGUACCUUAUGAAUAAGGACCGGCUAAUUCCGUGCCAGCAGCCGCGGUAAUACGGAAGGUCCGGGCGUUAUCCGGAUUUAUUGGGUUUAAAGGGAGCGUAGGCCGGAGAUUAAGCGUGUUGUGAAAUGUAGACGCUCAACGUCUGCACUGCAGCGCGAACUGGUUUCCUUGAGUACGCACAAAGUGGGCGGAAUUCGUGGUGUAGCGGUGAAAUGCUUAGAUAUCACGAAGAACUCCGAUUG
This 594-nucleotide ribosomal RNA is filed under the name uncultured Bacteroidota bacterium. Its description in RNAcentral is "bacterial SSU rRNA". It matches the Rfam family "Bacterial small subunit ribosomal RNA", at positions 122 to 715 of the family's 1533-position model. Lineage: Bacteria; Pseudomonadati; Bacteroidota. The record is from RNAcentral.